GGGCGGAUAGCUCAGUUGGUAGAGCGCUCGCUUAGCAUGUUUCUACUUGCGUGAGGUCCUGGGUUCAAUUCCCAGUUCGUCCA
RNAcentral lists this transfer RNA (83 nucleotides) under Tilletia horrida. RNAcentral describes it as "tRNA-Ala". It matches the Rfam family "tRNA". Rfam says of the family: Transfer RNA (tRNA) molecules are approximately 80 nucleotides in length. Their secondary structure includes four short double-helical elements and three loops (D, anti-codon, and T loops). Lineage: Eukaryota; Fungi; Basidiomycota; Exobasidiomycetes; Tilletiales; Tilletiaceae. The record is from RNAcentral.